AAAAAAGAAGAAGAAGAAGAAGAAGUUUCACUAUGAAAGGGAGCAGUGAAACCAGAAAGUGCUGAGGUGGACAGGGGGUGACGGGGAGGAGCAUUAAGAUGAGACUGAAGGAGGGGAGCUUGGGGGCCAGCAGGCAGGAGCCAAAGCAGAAGAAAAAGAGGGAUGACUGCCGAAAUGAGAAAUGAAGCCCUCGUAGAGGAAAGGACACAGGGCCUGGCUGAUAAGGCUGAUAGGAUCUCAGUUACUCAGAAAAAAACAAGAAUUCUUACCACAUGUCAGUUUAGUUCUGCAUAUCAGAAACCUCCUGGACACUGUUAUCCCUUUCCUACAGAUGAGAAAAAUACCCUCCAGGGAAAUGAAAGGGUGGCCCAAGGUCAUAGAACAAGUGGAAGCCACUGCUGCUUCAUCAGUACAAGAGAGAGGAAGGAACAAAGUGCUGGGAGGUGAGAUUCAAGCAACAACACCUGGCAAAAGGAGAGCAAUCCCCAAAGUGACAGUUUUUCUCAUCCACAGGGCUUUAGCUGUGGGUUGUUUUUUGUUAGCCAAUGUGUCAGUGUUCGCCAGGUUACUCACUUUUCCUUCCUUGGUUACUUUCUCCCUAUUCCAGGUGUUCUACGUGGAUGAGAGGGCUAACUUGUAAAGAUCCCUAACAACUUCAAGGAAUUUCUCUCUUGCUGUUUAAAAAGUCUUUUCUCUCCUGUCAGUCUUGCAACGUGCAAAAAUAUAAUUGUUCAAAAACUCAGAUUCUAAUCAAAAUCUAAGGUGAACCCACCCUAAACAGGACAUCUGGUCAUUGUAUGAAAAACAAGUCCCUUUUUAUAAGGAGAAGGAAACAAAACCAGAUCUCCCAGACAUGGCUGUAAUGCUGUCUACCAAAACCCGUAAGAAAGACCACAGAUUCUGAUCAACAACUUGCAGGGAGGUAGCCGCUCUGCGUCCAGCUGGCGAGGUCCAAAGGUAGUGAAAUGAGAUGUUGCUUUGAGUCUCUAAAUUCCAGUGGAUAACAGAUGCCUCCAUGUACUUUUCUUUACAGUGCUUUAAGAACAAACUGUCAUUGACUAGUUAUAUUUUUUUCCAUCCAGGUCCAAAAAAUGUAUGUUAUUUUUUUCUUCCCACCUCCCACAUGCCAGCUAAAAAUCACUUCUUUCUUGUAUUCCAAUCUGUCUUCAAAUAGCUCCUCCAAAAAAAAGUUGCCAAACCAUAACUUUCUAUAAAUCUCAUGUAUAUUUCUUUCUUCUGCCAUAUUCCCUGAUACAUCAUUUAGAACAAGUGGUUUAUACCUUGUCACAGGAAGCAAUACUCUGUGCUUUGUAGCAUCUUCCUCAUUUGCCUUUUCUUUGCAGGUAAGUACGUGUGAUUAUGUUGAUGUUGGUGGUUGGGAAGGGUUCAUCUUUCUUUAUUCUCCCUCAAAAAUACAUUGUCUCUUGCUUUUCGGUUUACAUGUGGGCUUCCAUUUGGGAGGAAAAAUAGUGUAGAUAGCUCUGAAGGUAUAGCUGCCCAUUCAUUCAUUCAACAAACAAACAUUUUACUGUGUUUUGGCACUGUGUUAGGUGUAUGAUAAGCAGCAGUGAAAAAAAAAUGAUGGUUCAAGUACUUGGGAAACGGGUGGAGUUCCUUGUUCUUGACUUUGGCCUAGCCUAGCCUGGGAUGUUGUGGACAUUUGGAGAAUAAAUCAGUGGAUGAGAUCUCAAUAUCUAUCUCUCUCCACCCCCUCAACCUCUCUACUACUCUGCAUUUCAAAUAACAACAGUAUCAACUUAAAGCAUUGCUGUAAGAAGUAAAUAAGUUAAAAUCAUAAAUCAUUGAGAGCAGUGCCUGAAAUAUAGCAGAUACAAUAGCCAUAAGCUAUUGAUAUUAUUAAGAAGGGGGAGUGAUGGGAGGUGCAAUUUCAGAGAAAAAAUUCAAUUCAGGGUUCUCUAGGGAGGCGAAUGAAGUGAAGGAAUACAAUCUAUGUAUACUGUCUGUUCUUUAAAUAUUUAUUUAUUUGAAAUGAGGAGCUACAAAGAGAGAGAGAGACAGAGAGACAGAGAGAUCUUCCAUCUGUUGGUUCUCUCCCUGGAUGGCCACAGCAGCCAGAGCUGGGCCAGGUAGAAGCUAGAAGUCUGGAACUCCAUCUGGGUCUCCCACAUGAGGGGCAGGGGCCAAAUGUGUGAGCCAUCUUCCACUGCUUUCUCAGGUGCAUAGGCAGGGAGCUAGAUCAGAAGUGGAACAGCUGGGACUCAAACUAGUUCUUCCAUGUGAGACACUGGUGGCACAGGGCCACAAGGCUGGCCCCAUCUGUUGUAUUUUCUUUUUUUUUUUUUUAAGUAUUUUUUAAAGAUUUAUUUUAUUUAUUUGAAAGACAGAGUUACAGAGAGAGGUAGAGAGAGGUCUUCCAUCCGCUGGUUCACUCCCCAAAUGGCUGCAACAGCUGGAGCUGUGCUGAUCCAAAGCCAGGAGCCAGGAUCUUCUUCCGGGUCUCCCAUGUGGAUGCAGGGGCCCCAGGACUUGGGUCAUCUUCUACUGCUUUCCUAGACCAUAGCAGAGAGCUGGAUCAGAAGUGGAGCAACCAGGACUAGAAAUGGUGCCCAUAUGGGAUGCCAGCACUUCAGGCCAAGACUUUAAUUCACUGCGCCACAGCGCCAGCCUCUAUUGUAUUUUCUUGAGUCUACGUAUUCCAUGUCUGCAAAGAGUCUACAUAAGAAACUGGUAGCAGUGAUCCUUUGAACUUGAGGACAACAGUAUAAAGGCAACUCACUUUUUGCACCUUUGCUAUUUUCUUCUGACUACUGCCUAUUUAAAAAUAGAUAAAUAGGGGCUGGCAUUGGGGCAGAGCAGCUGACAACCGCUGCCUGUUAGCAUCCCAAAUGGGCACUAGUGCAUGUCCUGGCUGCUCCACUUCCAAUCCAGUUCCCUGCUAAUGGCCUGGGAAAAGCAGUGGAAGAUGGCCCAAGGGCUUGGACCCCUUCCACCCAUAUGGGAGACCCAGAUGAAACUCCUGGCUCCAGCCUGGCUCAGCCCUGGCUGUUUCCGUUAUCUGGGGUAUGAACCAUAGGGUAAAAAAUCUCUUUUUUUACUCCCUCUUGCUCUCUAACUCUUUCAAAUAAAUAAUAAAUAUUGAAAAAUUAAAAAUAUAUAAACUUAAAUAUUAAAAGGAAAGAAGCUGGGCAUUUGGUAUAGCAGUCCAGAUGCCACUUGGGAUGCCCACAGCUCAAAUUGGAAUGACUGGGUUCCACUUCUGGCUCCAGUCCUGAUUCCAGCUUCCUGCUGAUGCACACCCUGGGAGGCGGCCGGUGGUGGCUCCCUUAGCUGGGUCCCUGCUACCCAGAUGGGAGACCUAGACCUAGCACUUGCUUUUCCUUUUUAACUUCAUUUUCCCAACGCUUCUGUCCAAAAAGCCAACUACUUUUUUUUUGAAAUCAAAUCAAUUUACUAUAUCUUUUAAAGAUCAUUUCUAUUUAUUUCCACUUUUUAUUCAAAAUUCAGAGACACAGACCAUCAAGCAGUGUCUUAAUCACUACAUCAAUGCUCUCCAUCCCCAGAAAUGAUCUUUAAGGUGGAAUUCAAAAGAAUAUUUGAGGGAUCAGCAUUGUGGUGAGGCUACCGCCUGCGGUGCUGGCAUCCCAUGUAGGCACCAGUCGAGUCUCAGCUGCUCCUUUUCUCAUCUAGCUCUCUACUACUACGCCUGGAAAAGCAGCAGAAGAUGGCCAAGUACUUGAGGACCUGCCACCCAUGUGGGAGACCCAGAAGGAGUUCCAGGCUCCCAGCUUCUGCCUGGCCCAGUCCUGACGAGUGCAAUUCUAAACCGAAACUUGGAGCUGGAAUGAAUUUCCUCCCUUGAAGCAGAACUUCUGUUUGCCCAGCAGAGCAUACGAGUUUUUAUUACCAGAAGCUGCCUCUCAGGAUUGGGUAGGGACAGGUGGGCUGAGCAGAGAGGAGAUGCUCUCCACGCGGUUGGCAUGAGCUCUUGGCUACCAUCACUGGAAGUCCAUGCGGUGGAACAGCAAGCUCCAUAACUUGACAGGAACAAGGGGCCACAAACAGGCAUGAGGCCUUCACCUGCACCAGUCCGAGGCUGGAGCUCUUUGUUGGUGACUGUCUGCAGAGGUUACCUGAAGUCUCUGUUGGGGACAGCACAGCAUUUUUGUUAAACCACAGGCCUCAAGGCCACACUGAUAAGUUUAACUGCUUGGUUCAAAUCCUGGUCCCGCGGCACAGUAAACCUGCUUGCUUUCCUCGAAACAGGAAUAACAGUGUUUAUCUUAGGAGCUGUCCAGAUUAAAGCAGCUAAUAUACAUAAA
Molecule: non-coding RNA, 4280 nt
Organism: Oryctolagus cuniculus (rabbit)
Lineage: Eukaryota; Metazoa; Chordata; Mammalia; Lagomorpha; Leporidae
Source: RefSeq, a predicted model, not a curated record